AUAGCCUAACGGCUGAACCAGCAACUUGGAGGAAUGUAUAGCAAUUGCUAUUUGCAUUAAAAGUUUUUAGUGUAAAAUCGACUUUGUCGAAUAAAAUUCUGGGUAGAAUUAUGAUAAUGACAUUACCUACUCAUAAGUCUUGACCAAAUUACGUGCCAGCAGUCGCGGUAAUACGUAGAAGACAAGUGUUAUUCAUCUUUAAUAGGUUUAAAGGGUACUUAGACGGUAAAUAAAGCCUCCAAAAGGUACUAGUUUGCUAGAGUUUUAUAUGAAGGAGUUUUAAAGUACUACUGGUGUAGAGAUGAAAUUCAGUUAUACCUUACAUGGCACAGGUUAAGGCGAAAGCAUCUUCUUAUGUAAAAACUGACGUUGAAGGACGAAGGCUUUGUGUCUCGAACAGGAUUAGAUACCCUAGUAGUCUAAGCAGAAAAUGAUGAAUGUCAUAGAUUAGAUUUAAUUUGAUCUGUAAAUGAAAGUGUAAGCAUUCCACCUCAAGAGUAAUUUGGCAACAUUGGAACUGAAAUCAUUAGACCGUUUCUGAAACCAGUAGUGAAGUAUGUUGUUUAAUUUGAUAAUCCGCAAAAAACCUUACCACAAUUUGAAUAGAUAUAUUUUAUCAUACAAGCGUUGCACGGCUGUCUUCAGUUAAUGUCGUGAGACUUUGGUUAGUUCCAUUAAAUUAACGUAAACCCUUACUUUAUUUUUAUAUAAAGUAGUUCACCGCUAUAUUGGAUGUGAUAAUAGGGAUCAAGACAAGUCAUCAUGACCUAAAUAUUGU
This 778-nucleotide ribosomal RNA is filed under the name Rusavskia elegans. RNAcentral's name for it is "mitochondrial SSU rRNA". It matches the Rfam family "Bacterial small subunit ribosomal RNA", at positions 371 to 1210 of the family's 1533-position model. The record is from RNAcentral. Lineage: Eukaryota; Fungi; Ascomycota; Lecanoromycetes; Teloschistales; Teloschistaceae.